GGGGGCGUUAUAGAUUCGCUCGGGGGAGCAAUGGCAAGAGUGGCGUGUCGAGAUCCCGCUUGUCUCGUUAAACAGCGGACAAUCAAUAAUUGCCAAAGAAAACAAUUACGCUUUAGCUGCUUAAUCCCAGCUAACAUCCUCCCUUCACGGUCUGCAGUGAAGGAUCAGGGUGUCACAAUUAGCAGACUGUCUUGGAAGACCGCCGUCUGAGGUCAAUCAAGGAAACCAAUCAGACUGGCUUCAACGGAAUCCCGCUUUCAGGAGUCCCGCGGAGCGAGAAAACAAAAUGAAAGCUACACACGUAGAAGCUCUUGUGGUUGUCUUUCGAUACAGGGGUGCAAGUCCCCUCGCCUCCACCA
This 359-nucleotide transfer-messenger RNA is filed under the name Peptococcaceae bacterium. It matches the Rfam family "transfer-messenger RNA". From Rfam's summary of the family: Bacterial tmRNA, also known as 10Sa RNA or SsrA, is named for its dual tRNA and mRNA-like properties. Its role is to liberate the mRNA from a stalled ribosome. Lineage: Bacteria; Bacillati; Bacillota; Clostridia; Eubacteriales; Peptococcaceae. RNAcentral also lists the same sequence under 1 other name. The record is from RNAcentral.